This 1008-nucleotide long non-coding RNA is filed under the name Fragaria vesca (wild strawberry). RNAcentral's name for it is "long non-coding RNA (FVES_LNC004575)". Lineage: Eukaryota; Viridiplantae; Streptophyta; Magnoliopsida; Rosales; Rosaceae. The record is from RNAcentral.
AGCAGCCAUGUAGGACGAUUUUUGGUGUGUGAAGCGCAGCAAGCCAAGAACAGUCCGUGAGGGACUGUUUCGGCGACCGGACCGGUUCUCUCUCCUCCGGCCAGCUCAGGUGGCGCCACCACCUGCAUCUUGAAGCUCUCCCUUCCAGCAGAAAACCCUCAAAAGGUUUCACUCCAUCUUGAACUAGGUAAGGAGAAUCGAGCAUUUGAAACUCUAGGGCUUAUUGUGUGUUUGGCUUCGGUUACCCUAGUUAGGUUUGAAAUUGGACUUUGUGGUAGUUAUGAAAGUUGUUUGGAAUGAUGAGAGGAAGAUUGUGUCAAAAUUUAGUAGACAUUGGGGGUCGCCGGAGUUUGGCUGCCGGCCGUCGGCGGCGCCGGCGCCGGCGCCGCAUAAGGGUAGUUUUUCAUGUUUUUGAGUUUGUUUUAAUGAAAGGAGUUUAUUGAUGUGAAGUUUGGAAUUUUUGGAGGAGUUUUGAUUAGGUUUGGAAUUUUUCAGAAAUUGGAGAAAUUGACGGUUGAUAGAAUAGAUCCGACUAUUUGAUUUACUUGGACAUGGUCCAAAAGUGCUAGAACAAUAAAGUGAGGUGGUAAUUGGAGUUUGGCAUGAAUCUGAUAAGCUUAACCCUAGCUAGGGUAGUGGGUUAGGCGGAAGAUUUUCAGGAUGUUAUAUUAAAGCAUUUAUUUUUCCAAAAUUGUAGUGUGGUUCUAAUUAUGCUUAUGGUGUUAGGAUUCAUGGAGACCUCACGCGUAUGGCGUUGUGGAUAUCGUCAGGCUUAUGCCUAAAUCUGUGAGUGGACAUUUUGGUUUUAAAUAAAUAUGCAUGCAAGACUUUAUAAUUUACUAUUUUAUUUCCUGAGCUUACAUUAUAAUUUUGGGUUUAUGAGAUGAUCUUGGAAUUCAUUUGAGUUUGAUGCAUGUAGUAAUCCUUGUCAUAAUAUAUGGAUUUGAGCUCGGAUCAUUAAUUUGGUAUUUGAAUUUGGUUAUUGUUUAUGAUUUCUGGAUUUAAUUA